This 450-nucleotide ribosomal RNA is filed under the name uncultured Glomus. RNAcentral's name for it is "SSU rRNA". It matches the Rfam family "Eukaryotic small subunit ribosomal RNA", at positions 569 to 1024 of the family's 1831-position model. The record is from RNAcentral. Lineage: Eukaryota; Fungi; Glomeromycota; Glomeromycetes; Glomerales; Glomeraceae.
AGCAGCCGCGGUAAUUCCAGCUCCAAUAGCGUAUAUUAAAGUUGUUGCAGUUAAAAAGCUCGUAGUUGAAUUUCGGGAUCAUCAGGUUGGUCGUGCCUCUGGUAUGUACUGAUUUCGAUGGUUCCUCCUUCUUGAAGAACCGUAAUGCCAUUAAUUUGGUGUUGCGGGGAAACAGGACUGUUACUUUGAAAAAUUAGAGUGUUUAAAGCAGGCAAUCGCUUGAAUACAUUAGCAUGGAAUAAUGAAAUAGGACGUUCGAUCCUAUUUUGUUGGUUUCUAGGAUUGACGUAAUGAUUAAUAGGGAUAGUUGGGGGCAUUAGUAUUCAAUUGUCAGAGGUGAAAUUCUUGGAUUUAUUGAAGACUAACUACUGCGAAAGCAUUUGCCAAGGAUGUUUUCAUUAAUCAAGAACGAAAGUUAGGGGAUCGAAGACGAUCAGAUACCGUCGUAGU